Molecule: long non-coding RNA, 1838 nt
Organism: Peromyscus eremicus (cactus mouse)
Lineage: Eukaryota; Metazoa; Chordata; Mammalia; Rodentia; Cricetidae
Exons: 3
Source: RefSeq, a predicted model, not a curated record
GGGAGGAAAAGCGGUCGACUGUGCGGCUUUCCCACAUCGCCCUUCUGUUUUACUGCUAAUGAGGGGUUGGAUGCUUGUCCAAGAUAAGGUUUAGUGAAUUCGUGAUGAGUCUAAUGAAACAGAAGCACGUGUUUUCUGCCCUUUACAGGAUUCCUAGACGGAUUGUUGGGAUUACAGCUAUGCCACCCUGUCUGUUUUUCUCUGAGGUUUGGGUACUGAGAAUUAAAUCCCCAGCUUUGUGAAUGAUAGGAUGUCACCGCAUGGAGGCCCAGCGAGCCCCUUACGUGAACUGUGAAGGUGAAGCCUGGAUUGUUUUGGAGAUCUCAAGAUGUUAGAGAUGCCAGAGCUGUGGGAUACUGGCCAAAGAGAUCUGCAGACCAGCUGUAGAAACAGCCCAAGGGACAGAAGUUUGUGCUACAGUUGGCAGAGAUGGCAGGGUGAAGCUACUCAAGCAUUUUGUCCCUCACUUGAUUACAUUGUAAGCUCAAGGUGCUAGACUUGGAGCUCCAAAACUUGGUGUUUUCCCCACUGGAUUUUGGUUUUGUAGUGGUGUGAUUAUUUUAUUCCUUGGCUCUUUAUUUUUAUAUUAAUGUUUAUUUUGUGCCAUUGUAUGUUGAAAGUAUAUAGUUUGCUUUUUAUAGAGAGUAAAGAGAACUUAGGCUUUUAGUAUUGGAAGUUUUCAAGACUGAAGAUUUUUGAAGUUGGACUGUAUUUUACGUUAUGAGUUAAACCCAAGACUUUGGGCACAAGAGGUAAAAAGUUAUGGCUUAAAGUUUUGUGUUUGUGUGUCAAAUUAAUUGUCAACUUGACAUAAUCUAGAAUCAUCUGGAAGAAGGGCCUCUGAGAAUAUCUCUAAGGGAUUAUCCAAUUACAUUGAUAUGAGAGGACCCACCCACUGGGGGUGGCAUGGUUGCCUGGGAUUGGGGUCCUGGACUAUGUAAGUGGAGAAAGUAAGCUGAAGGGUAACAACCACUCUUCCAUGAAUAUUCUCUGUCUAGUUUUGACUGUGGAUGUGAUUGAUCAGCUGUUUCAAGUCUCUGAUGCCUUCAUUUCCCCACAAUGAUGGACAGUAACUUGGAACUGUGAGUCCACAUAAACUUUGUCCCCUAAAUGUCACUGGUGAGCAACAGGAACAAAACUAAGACACAGUCUGCUAAUGUGACAUUUUACAGUCAGUCAUAUAAGACACAGAACUGAAGGUAAACAUGAGGAAGUGCCCAAACAGACUGGGGUCUCUGCUAUUGACAAGAAUAACUUAGAACUAUAAUCACAUUCUUGUUACUUUAGGACCAUCAGAGCAAACAGAAAAUGUAUGCCUAUUACCCCUUUCUCACCUGUCCCUUUAAAAAGUCCAAGCUUAAAUCUCUUGGAAAGUUGAAUCUUAGAUAUUGAUUCAAAAUAUUCUUCCAAAUUGACUUAGACAUACUUCAGAUGGGUGCCAUUUGUUUCAUACCAGUAUUAAUCUUUAAUACUACAAACUCCUAAAUCUUAGGUUUCCACAAAUGGCUUCUCAAAACAUUCUAUUGUUAUAGAAUUUAUUUUAGAUUAAUCAUCCAGAAAAGGAAAAUUCAGACAUGAUAAUCCAUACCUGUAACGUCUUCACUUGGGAAGCUAAGGCAGAUGCAUUGCUAAUUCAAGCCUGGUCUGUGUGACAUAGUGAGUCUUUAUCUAAAGGAAAACAGAAAAGAAACCAAUAAACCAAGGUUAUGAUAACACUAAACAUGUUAGACUCUCACCAUAUAACAAGAAUAAAAUAAUUGGUUUUAUAGAUUAUAACAUUGAUUAUGAGACUAAAUUUUUACUAAAUGUUGCUGCAAUUACCUCAAAUAAUACUGACC